GAUGAACGCUGGCGGCGUGCCUAAUACAUGCAAGUCGAGCGGAGCGGGGACGGGUGAGUAACACGUGGAUAACAUCCUAUAAGAACGGGAUAACCUCGGGAAACCGGAGCUAAAUCGGAAAAUUCUAGAAGGAGCCGGGCUGCAUUGGCUAGUUGGUCAGGUUACGGCUUACCAAGGCGACGAUGCAUAGCCGACCUUGGAGGGGGAUCGGCCACACUGGAACUGAGACACGGUCCAGACUCCUACGGGAGGGAGCAGUGGGGAAUCUUCCGCAAGGGGCGAAAGCCUGACGGAGCGACGCCGCGUGAGUGAGGAAGGUCUUCGGAUCGUAAAAUUCUUUUAGUCGGGAAGCGUUACCUAAUCAGAAAGCCACGGCUAACUUCGUGCCAGCAGCCGCGGUAAUUC
RNAcentral lists this ribosomal RNA (405 nucleotides) under uncultured bacterium. Its description in RNAcentral is "partial 16S ribosomal RNA". It matches the Rfam family "Bacterial small subunit ribosomal RNA", at positions 28 to 526 of the family's 1533-position model. The record is from RNAcentral.